Molecule: non-coding RNA, 578 nt
Organism: Leptonychotes weddellii (Weddell seal)
Lineage: Eukaryota; Metazoa; Chordata; Mammalia; Carnivora; Phocidae
Source: RefSeq, a predicted model, not a curated record
GCUGGAGGAGAUAAACAGAGGAGGAGGAGGGAGGGGAGUGCGUGUGUGAGAGCGCGCGAGGGAGUGUGAGUGUGUGUGAGCGCGGGUGUGAGGCGGUGCGCAGGGGCGGGCGGAGGCGCUGUCCGGCCCCGGCCAGGCGCCGGGCGGGGAGCAUGGGAAGGGGCUAGAGCUGCCCGGGCCCCCCAGCCCCCUCCCCGGGAUCCGCGCCCCCCCCUCCCGGGAGAGGGGCCGGGCCCCCUGGACGGACAUGGGCUCCUGAAGUUGCGCCGCCGCUGGUCCUGGGAAGAGGCCUGACAGGUAAUUAAAUGUGUGUCUUGUGGACCUGGGCUUGGCUGGAAUGCUCAAGGGUCCUGAAGAUCCUUCUAUAGCUUCCUGCUGUUGAAUCCAUUAAGAGAAGAUGGCAAAAGUCAACAUAACUAGAGACCUCAUCCGUAGGCAGAUCAAGGAGCGGGGUGCCCUGAGCUUUGAGCGGCGCUACCAUGUCACUGACCCCUUUAUCAGGCGGCUGGGCCUGGAAGCAGAGCUACAGGUCCCUGAUGUGCAAAGCUCACCCUAAAUAGCAGUAUUUCCAAGGGUCC